GGAGCGGUGUCCGAGUGGUUGAAGGAGGCGGUCUUGAAAACCGUUGUGCCGUAAGGUACCGGGGGUUCGAAUCCCCCCUGCUCCG
This 85-nucleotide transfer RNA is filed under the name Treponema primitia. RNAcentral's name for it is "tRNA-Ser". It matches the Rfam family "tRNA". From Rfam's summary of the family: Transfer RNA (tRNA) molecules are approximately 80 nucleotides in length. Their secondary structure includes four short double-helical elements and three loops (D, anti-codon, and T loops). Further hydrogen bonds mediate the characteristic L-shaped molecular structure. tRNAs have two regions of fundamental functional importance: the anti-codon, which is responsible for specific mRNA codon recognition, and the 3' end, to which the tRNAs corresponding amino acid is attached (by aminoacyl-tRNA synthetases). tRNAs cope with the degeneracy of the genetic code in two manners: having more than one tRNA (with a specific anti-codon) for a particular amino acid; and 'wobble' base-pairing, i.e. permitting non-standard base-pairing at the 3rd anti-codon position. RNAcentral also lists the same sequence under 2 other names. The record is from RNAcentral. Lineage: Bacteria; Pseudomonadati; Spirochaetota; Spirochaetia; Treponematales; Treponemataceae.